CAGUCGCCACGGUAAAACGGAGGGGGCUAGCGUUGUUCGGAAUUACUGGGCGUAAAGCGCACGUAGGCGGCUUUACAAGUCAGAGGCGAAAGCCUGGAGCUCAACUCCAGAAUUGCCUUUGAGACUGUAUCGCUUGAACACGGGAGAGGUGAGUGGAAUUCCGAGUGUAGAGGUGAAAUCCGUAGAUAUUCGGAAGAACACCAGUGGCGAAGGCGGCUCACUGGUCCGUUGUUGACGCUGAGGUGCGAAAGCGUGGGGAGCAAACAGGAUUAGAUACCCCGGUAGUCCCUGUCUCUUAUAA
Molecule: ribosomal RNA, 301 nt
Filed under: uncultured bacterium
Lineage: Bacteria
Description: partial 16S ribosomal RNA
Rfam family: Bacterial small subunit ribosomal RNA
Source: RNAcentral